GCUGGGUGCAGUGGGCAUGCCUGUAAUCCCAGCAGCCCUGGAGGCUGAGGCAGGAGGAUCAUGAGUUCAAAGCCAGUCUCAGCAACAGUGAGGUGCUAAGCAACUCGGUGAGACCCUGUCUCUA
This 124-nucleotide small RNA is filed under the name Marmota monax (woodchuck). The record is from RNAcentral. Lineage: Eukaryota; Metazoa; Chordata; Mammalia; Rodentia; Sciuridae.